GAUACCCUAUUAUUAUGAAUGUUAAUUUGAUCUUUAUUUAUUAAUAGAUAAGUUCUUUAAAAUUAAAAGAUUUGGCGGUAUUUUAGUCUGUUCAGAGGAACCUGUUAUUUAAUUGAUGGUCCACGAUAAUUAUUACUUUAUUUUAAAAUUUAUAUAUCGUCGUUUAUAAAAAUUUUAUUAGGAUGUUAAUUUUUAUUGUUUAUUAUUAUGUUUUAUUUCAGAUCAAGGUGUAGUUGAUGAUGAAGUUAUAAUGGGUUACAUUACUAGUAAUGUAUGGGUUUUUAAUUUAAAAUUAUGAAUAAAUUGGAUUUGGAAGUAAAUUUUUUAUUUAUGGAAUUUGAUAGAGCUCUAAAAUAUGCACACAUCGCC
RNAcentral lists this ribosomal RNA (369 nucleotides) under Menimus hydrovatinus. RNAcentral's name for it is "partial 12S ribosomal RNA". Lineage: Eukaryota; Metazoa; Arthropoda; Insecta; Coleoptera; Tenebrionidae. The record is from RNAcentral.